AGAAGAGAACAAAAAUUAGUACACAAAAUUACCUAAAGUGCACGAAGAGCGAUAGCAGCUGCAUGGCUGACACCAGAGGGACCUAGUUUCACGGGAGUAACAUCAAGGAUUAGAGAGAGCAAACUGAUGGAUGACCUGACAGCUAGAGUGAAGGGAAAUAUGAAAGCUUUCCAGAAAGUUUGGGAACCAUGGGAUAACAGUGCAGUGGGCUUGGGAAGCGACUGAGGGUGACCAAACAGGGACAUAAGGGACACGUCAAAGAAUGGG
Molecule: non-coding RNA, 267 nt
Organism: Pelobates cultripes (western spadefoot toad)
Lineage: Eukaryota; Metazoa; Chordata; Amphibia; Anura; Pelobatidae
Source: the annotation of a GenBank genome assembly